GGCGCGGCCCACCCUUCGAUAAACUCAGGAGGGCCGACGGCCGGUCGGCCUUGCGAAGCUUUGCUUCGGGGGUGGACUUCUGGAUCGCGUAGCAGCGUUUGCGUCGGUAUCUGGGCUUGUAGCUCAGUUGCUUAGAGCACACGCUUGAUAAGCGUGGGGUCGGAGGUUCAAGUCCUCCCAGGCCCACCAUGUUACAUGAUAAGGGGCCGUAGCUCAGCUGGGAGAGCACCUGCUUUGCAAGCAGGGGGUCGUCGGUUCGAUCCCGUCCGGCUCCACCAUCGUGUUUUGGUGUAGAGACGGAUAUUGGCAAUCAACGAAAGAAAGAAACAAGUUUGCGGACUUUUAUGAAAGUCUGCCUGUUCUGUAUGAAAUCGUGAAGAGAAGAUGUAAUCGGAUCAACUAUCCAGUUGAUGUCGCAAGAGCUUGCUCAAGCCUUGCAUUAUGAUUGAUGUGUUUAACCGCCAUCACCGAUUGU
This 475-nucleotide transfer RNA is filed under the name Brucella intermedia. RNAcentral describes it as "Ochrobactrum intermedium partial contains 16S rRNA, ITS1, tRNA-Ile, tRNA-Ala and 23S rRNA". The stretch from base 113 to 186 matches the Rfam family "tRNA". Lineage: Bacteria; Pseudomonadati; Pseudomonadota; Alphaproteobacteria; Hyphomicrobiales; Brucellaceae. The record is from RNAcentral.